RNAcentral lists this long non-coding RNA (7731 nucleotides) under Ananas comosus (pineapple). Its description in RNAcentral is "long non-coding RNA (ACOM_LNC038625)". The record is from RNAcentral. Lineage: Eukaryota; Viridiplantae; Streptophyta; Magnoliopsida; Poales; Bromeliaceae.
AUUUUUUCUCUUUUUUUCUAAUUAUUUUACGCUGUUUUAGCGUUGUCAGCCUGCUUAAAUUUUAGUUUUUUUUUUAUGAAAUGUUUCGCUAAAUUUGCUUUGAUUUUAUUGUGUAAAAAUAUUCUAAAAAUUCUAACAAUUAAACUCUAUUGUGUAAUAUGAAAAAAAAUAGUUAUUACUAGUAGCGUGUAGAACAAAUCUUAUGAAUAUUGAAAAUGUAUUCUUACAUUAAUUCACCUACUAAUUUAAUAAUUAUUUGUUGAGUUUUGAAUAAGUUGUUAAUAAAAAUUCUUCUUUUGUAGGUACUUUCGCUUAUUCAUUAAGUUGCUUGAUCUGUUGCUUCUAAUUUAACCUCCUCUAAGAUCAUCGAUCAACUGGUAACAAUAAAUAUGCUCAAUACUAUUUUUUUUCAUCAUUAUUUUAAUAUUAUAUUGUAGUGAAAAGGUAAAACAAGGUGUAUUGGAAAAAAAGAAGAAAAAAGUAUAAGAAAGCUCCGGUGUUGUUAACUCCCACCGCGAAGCGCGGGACAUUACACUAAUAUGAGACUAAUGUUUUUAACAAGAUCGACCACUCGUAAGCCAGAUCUAACCAUUUAUUUAUUGGUAAGAAGAGAUUCUUGGUUCAACCAGUCCAACAAAACUAGUUCAAUUUGCUUUAUAAAGCAUUGCUGAGGGCUUGGAUUAACUGUUGUGGUCGAUAAUGAAAGUGAUCUUUGUUUUCGUAAAAUUGUUGAAAUAUCAAAUUGAGUUAUUUGAAUCGCUCGAAUCUUCUGCUUUUUAUAUUCAAAAAGUGGUAAAUAAUAUAAAAUAACUAUUAUUCUCUAAAGGUUUAAGCCAGUAGAAAACAAUAUGUUAAAAAAUAAAGAAAUCUCAAAUCUUCUACUUUUAAUAUUCAAAAGUUGUUAAGUAAUAUGAAAUAACAGUUGUUCCCUAAAAAAAUUUUAGCUGGUAGGGAACAGUGUUUAUAUAUUUUUAUAUUUAGCACUCCUCCUCACACAUGAACUCGAGAUUUCUCGUUAGAUCUAUGAUGUAGAUUUGAAUUAAAUGAGAGAAAAUUAAUAAUGCUAGGCGUCUAACGUGAUUCGAACUCAGAAUCUUCUGUUAUGAUAUCAUAUUAAUAUUUACAAAACAAUCAUUAUUCUAUAAAAAUUAAAGUUGUAAGGAACGAUAUUUAAAUAUUUUCAUAUUUAACAACUUAUCCUCCAAACAAACUCAAAUAUCAUGUUAAAAAGUAUAUAGCCAACAGUCAAAAACGUUUGAAUUAUAAGAAACACUACAGAGUGAGAACUUGAAAAGCAGAACAUGUUAGAAAACAUACAUUCCUAUGCCCUCGAAAACGAAUCCACAGUCAAAAAGGUGAUGCUAUGCCUCUCAUAUCGUAAAUAAAUUUUUUUUAAAAAAAUUAUUGGCUAAAAAAAUAUAGGGCAUAUACCAUUCAACUAUAUAUAUUUGGCAUGAAUAUUAUAAUUUUACAUGUACAUAAUUAUGUAUAAACCAAGAAUAAACUGGAAAGUAUCAAAAUAUUCCCACAUAUUUCGAAUCAUUUAAGAUAUCACAACAUAUGAUGUUUGCCCACUCUUAAGUCUUAACUAGGGAAAAUGAAAUUUUUAGCAUUUUUUUUUUUAUGUUGAGGAUCAAAUCUCCGGCCUACAUUUAGGGAUGUAAUGUGAGUCGUGCCGGGUGCGCACAGCGCACAUUAUUCGGGCCAAAAUGGGCCUAAGUUUGGCCCGGUCCGGCCGGAUUCCGUAUUCGGACCAUGAAUUUUUGGACCGAUGUCUAGCACUGCCCUUAGGUCAGCACGGUACAGGCCGAGCCAUGGUGGACCGGGCCCAGGUUGGUCCAAUAAUUGUUUAAAAAAAUUUAAGUGAUAAUUUUUUUUUUAAGGGCUAGCCGAUGUGAGUUCGGAGAUGUGUAAUCGGUACAAAAACUGCAUCGUGCCGAUAUCUUGCUGGCACGUUAUAGUACGGUAGAUAUGAUCUGGGUCGAUAGAUAUUUAAAUCCUUAUGUUUUAGGCACAUUACUUCAGACGUUAUUAGCCAGAAUAAGAGAAAUAAUUAACUAGACCGAGUAAUGCUAUGAGGCCCAUUAGCACACUAGAGGGUUAAAAAAAAAAUAAUUUUUUUAUAAAUGAUCCUACCAAUUUUUACAAUUAUAAAAAUAGUCUUUUAAAAAAAUAAUUAUAAAAAUAAGACUCUAAUAUGCUAUAUUGAGUUUUUAAAAAAAUAAAUAAUAUAAGCAGAUGAAUGAAUCACCGUAUUUAAAUGCAGUGAAUCAUUACUGCUUUCAUAAUUUCUUUUAAAACCAACAAAGUUAUUUUAAAGGCGGUGAAACAAUUCACCGCCUUUAUUAUUUUCCUCUCUCUCCAUCUCUCUCUCUCUCUCAUUCUUUUAUAGUAUACUUUUUUAAAAGCGGCAAAUUAUUCAUCGCAUUUAAAAAAAUUUGAUGAAUGCGAUGAACCAUUUACUGCUUUCACGUUUUUUUUUCUCUCCCCAUCAUGCUAGCACAUAUAAGAGAAGACAAAAAUUAUAUUUACAAAUAAAAUUUUGACGGGUCUAAUUUGAGAAUAAAACUUUUGAAAAAGCCUAUUGUACUAAAAUCUUCCUAAAAAAAUUCCAAUAGCUAAUUUUUUUAUCACCACUAGUCAAGAUGAAAUUAAUUACGAUAUUUUAAAAAAGAUUGUAUUACGUGUUGGAAUCGACCGAUACGAAUUAUAUAACUCAAGAUCUGAAAUUAUAAAAUAAAAUAAUAUGAAAAAAGGAUAUUGAGGGAGAAAGAUAACUAAACUGAUACUUUAAAAAUAAAAAGUAUCUAAUUAUAUGAGGUCAACACCCUCAGCAUUAUGUAGUCAUAUCUACUAUGGCUGAUUCAUCUAAGUAACCCGUGCCGAAUUAUACAUAGCAAUGGAGUUAUAACAUAUGACAAAUCUAAUUUUUUUAUUUUGGAUAAUUACAAAUUAUAUUCUAAUUAGAUAAACAAUUAAAUAUAAUAAAUAUAUAAUUUGAAUAUAUUCUAUUUCUAUCUAAAUUUCGGAUUAAGUUUGAAUUAUUAUUUCUAAUAUUAUGGUCGAGCUUAAUUUAUGCUGAACCAAACAAUAAAAAUGCCCUUUAUUUUCUUUCGGCUUUAAAGUAACUGGGCGUUACUUUCUUGGGGUCAGAUCCAUUUCUUCUAUUGCAGUUGAAGGUGGACUGAAUUAGGUUUUGGGCCAGGGGCCCUUCCCAGCUAUUUCGCCUUUUGUGCUUGAGCAUUAAUUCAAGGGAAAACUUCAAAAACCCCCCUGUGGUUUUGUAGUUUCUCACUUUGCCCCCCUGUGGUUUAAAAUGUAUCAGAUUGUCCCCCUGUGGUUUCGUUUUUAUCUUUUCGGUAGCUUUUUCGUUAAUAUUUUAUUAAAUAAUAUACAAAAAACUUCAGAUACCCAUCUAGAUUUAUCAAAUAUUCACUUUAGUACCCUUUAAUUUUAACUUUAUUACUGAUUUAAAAAAAAUAAUAAUAAAAUUGAUAAGAAAAAGAGAAAAAAAGAAACCACAGGGGGGGCAAAUUGAUACAUUUUAAACCACAGGAGGGCAAAGUGAGAAACUACGAAACCACCGGGGGGGUUUUUGAAGUUUUCCCUUAAUUCAAAUUCGACAAGAGUACAAGGCUAAAAUAUAAAAUAUAGAAAAUGUCCUUAUAAAUAUUCACUUUUUCACUUUGUCUUCCUAACUUUUAAGAAUCAAUAUUUUAUUCUCUCAACAUUUCAAGUUGUUGUAUUUAACUACCGUCCGUCAGGAUUCCAUUAUUAUUCCGCCUAUUUUUUAUAAUUUAUAUCAAAAAUACUCUUAAAACUAAUAAAAAUUUAUUAAAAAUUUAUUUUUUCUUAUAGAAAAAGAAAGGGUAAUUUGGUCAUUUUGUCCUCUCUAUUAACGCUGUGAAUUUCUGAAAAUAUUUCUAAAAUUUUAAGGAGGCAAAAUAUCAUGGAGGAAAAGUAAAAAACGAGUAUUUACAGGUGAUUUACUAUAAUUUAGCCAAAAUAUAAUAAAAAAUUAUGAAAAAAUAGUUUAAAAAUUAAUUUAAAAAUAUGAAUAAAAGUUUGGCUAAUAAUGUGUUUAAAAUGUCUUACUAUCAAAAUGUGAAUUUUGGCGUCUUAGGAAACGGUAUGGAAAUAUAGAAAGAAUAAUUUAUUUAUAUGGCUGUAUGAAUGUAAUUACCACAUUAUACAUAAGGGGCUUUGUUUGUUUCUCCCAAGAUGACCUUUGAAAAAGAAAAAAUAAAAAAAUAGAAAAGAGACCUCCGAAUUUCAAAAUUGAUCCUUUAAUUUCUCUUUUUAUGAUUGAUAUGUUAUCUGUUUUUCACUUUUUUUGGAGUUGUUUUUACUAUAUUUGGUUCAAGUAUAAAUAAGAGUUGCUUAUUCCAGAAAUAUGUACAACUUCAGAUAUAUUUUCGGAAAGGCCAAUGAGUAGAGAUGGCUUCUGGUGCGUAUCGGAUUCUGUUCAUAGUGAUCCAAUAGCUCAUUUUCAAUGGUCUGACUAUCCUGGAACCAUUGACGCUGACGGAUUUUAGGUUUGACCCUCGGAUUUUGAGAAAACUGGUUAUACAUAUAUUUUAUGUAUUUGUGUGUGUUGUUUUGCCUAUUGGAGAGAUGAUGGGUUUCAUCGCAAAUCUGUAACCAAACUAGGUGAAAUAAAAUCGUGAAUUUAUUGUCUGUGUCAUGCUGAACGUACUGGUGUGAUCCGUUUACAAAUCUGACGGACGGAUCUCCUGAUAUCGCGCGUUGAUCGAGGAGUGGUCACUAAUGGCGAAAUAGAGAUUUUGUGAGAAGCCCUACAUUUUAUGUACCAUUUUACAUGAAAUCGAUUUUGGGGGUGUGUUCACGCGUUUUACUCGCGCUGUAAGGGGCUCAGUUUAAAAUAUCAAAUUUUGGAGGACUUUUGCGCAAAUUGGAGUUUUGUAUAUUUAGCCUUCUAGGUUUUGCACCAUGCAAACCCUAACCCUACCUCAACUCAGCUGACCUAGCCACCUCUUCCCUCCGCCCCCCACCUCGUGUGCCGCGUGCCUCCUGGCCGCUAUCGACCGUGCAACGGUUGACCACCACUUUUUCAGCCACAUUUUCUCCCUCUCUCUUUUUUUCUACCUUGUUCUCCACCCAUCCUUGAGCUCGAGCUAAGGGAGGGCCCGAACCUUCCUCCCUCGGCCUUUGGUGGUCACCCGCCGUCGAACCCGACCCUCCUUGGCCACCGCCACCACCAUUGUUGCCGUUGCUGCCACCUCAAGCUGAUCCAAGCCGAGAUGACCUUGCCACCUUUCCCACGCGCCGCCACAACUCGGAGCCGCACUGGUGACCUCCCUCGAGGCCCUCCGGUACCCCCGCAUUUGGCCGAAGUGGUCGCCGCCGCCACUGCACACUUAGGGCGCUGCCGUCGCGGUCCUCAAACUGAGCUAAGCUGCGGGCCACCUGAUCGAUUGUGACAGGUGGAUGCUUCGAGUUUGACUUGUUGCGCACCCAGGUUUCCGACGCGAUUGUCACAGGUGGAUGCUUCGAGUUUGUAGUCGGUAAGAUCGUUUCGCUUUCCUCUGUUCUUCUAUAUAAGUAUCGUAAUCUCUACAUGUCGGUUACUUUUGUUUAUCGUUCGUUCAUCUAUAUCUUAUUUCUUGUAUGAUGAUAGUUGUUGAUAGACAUGUAGAGUAGGCUUCCAUAUGUUGUAUAUCUGUGGAUCUUGGGUCCAGGCAACACAUCAACUCCUUUGUCGUGUGUUUCGAUCUAGUUGAUCGUGGUUCGGCGUUAUACGCCCUAACAUUUGGCUUGGGCCAAGGCACCGGUUUUCUACCAAUUUUCAUAUUGAGUAUAUCAGUAUGACUUAAUCACAGCACUGUAUAUUUUCGACACCGGUUGUUUUGGCCACCGACCAGGGAGUGUACGUAUCAGAUAGGUCGUCAAUGGACACAUGAAUCAAGUCAGUGUAUACUCUGUGACAGACAACGCUUUAUAUCAGUAUGAUUUAGAAUAUAAUGAAUAUCUCAGCAAGUUAGUGGGUUGCAUUAUAUAACUUAUUUAGUUAUUUAUAUCUCGGUUGCACCAUAUAAUUUAUUUAUGUAAUAGUAACAUGAUGAAAUGGACUCUUUGGUAAAUACUACAACUUUAAAUUUUAAAAAUUUAUAACUUAAAAUUUUAACGGACCAAACAAAUUUUUUUAAAAGAUGGAGAAAUAAAAUUCCAAACUGAAUAUUAUAUAGGAGAUUUUUUUUUUUUGUAUUUUAGCACUAUAUAAAAAAGCAUAACGAUACAUGCCAAAAUGACUCCAAGUCAAAAUUUUAAAAUACGCCAAAAUGACUCCAAGUCAAAAUUUUAAAAUGUUCUUGUGUUAAAUUAAUUUUUAAUUUGAGCCGUGUCUUUCGAGAACUCAAAUAUCUACCGGGCGCAAUAUUUUGUAUAUUUUAUACAUAAGAAGGGAGUACGUCUCCUACGCUUUUGAAAGUAUAGAGAUUUUCGUGUUUAUAAAUUAUUUUUGAUCAUAGAAAACUCAAAUUGACGAUCGGCUCCGCUAAAUAUGAUCUACGCUAUUAAAAUUAUUUAGAAACUAAAUUUUAUAAUUUUUCAACAUUAUUUACUAAGUGAUCAAAACAUUUAAAAAAUAAUUAUUCAAUGACCAAUGUGGCACGUUCGUAAAUUCAAUAGUAUAGAACAAUUCAAAUUACAUGAAACUUUCAUAAAAAUUUCUACUUAAUAUCAAAAAUAAGAUUAAUACUUUCAAUUCGAAAUUUGAGUGUUUAUCACUAUUUUUUAUAAAUUUUUAUUUUCAGUCAUUCAUUUUGACACUACUCUUUCACUAGACAAACAAAAUAAAAAAUUAUAAAAUAUAAUUUUUAAAUAAUUUUAAUAGUAUAAAUUAUAUCUAAUAAAAUCGAUCGUCAAAUUGAAUAUUUUAUUAUUAAAAAUAAUUUAUAAAUAAGAAGGUCUCUUUAUUUUUGGAAGCGUAGGAGUCUUCUAUAAAAAGACGUGAUGCAUGCUAUAAUAAGUUUAUUUGCAAAUUCUAAGCUUCGGACAAAAAAAAUUAAUUUAUACUCUUCUCCUCCGCUUGAACUUUAUUUGUUUAGUCACGUUAGAAUUUGGUUAGAUUUGUAGUUAAAUUCUAUUUGGAUAAGAAUUAAUAUUUAAAUCUGUUUGAGAUAAAUUAAGAUUUAAAUAUUAAUUAGAGAAUAAACCUAACUAGAUUAGGAUUAAUAUUUAAAUCUAUUAGAGAUUGAUUAAGAUAAAUUUAGAUAUUAAUUAAAGUAUGAAUCCUAAAUAUAUUAGGAUUGAGGUACGUUUUAAGUUGAGCAUUAUAAAUAAGCAUUGUGGCUCUCUUUUUUGAAUAGAGUACGGCUGGAACUAUUGGGGUGUCGUAUCAAAGAGAGAAAAAGAGAGAGAGUUAUUUUAGUGCACCUUACGCACGGAUGCACGUGGAGAGAUCUUCUUUGUGGAUUUUAUAGAAGACGAGAGAAGGGUAGAAGAGAUUCAAAAAGAGGGCUCGGGUUGUAGAUACUCUGUGCAGAAGAGGAGUCAGGUGUAAUCUUCUCUUAUUUAAUGAAUCUUAUUUUAUCUGCAUAUUUUUCUCUUUUAUGAUUGUAUCAGCUUUUGCUGAGAAGACGGGUUUAUGGUAAAAAUUCGAUUUGACGUUUUCGUUGCGGAAUCCCAACAAUCGGUACCGAAUCCACAGCAGUCGGUAUCGGAGCAGGUUGCGGAUUCACAAGAUCCGGUAUCGGGGCGAGUACCGGAUUC